UCGAGGAUCUUCGGCAAUGGGCGCAAGCCUGACCGAGCGACGCCGCGUGUGCGAUGAAGGCCUUCGGGUUGUAAAGCACUGUCGAGGGGGAGAAAGCCGAAAGGUUGAUCUAUCCCUGGAGGAAGCACGGGCUAAGUUCGUGCCAGCAGCCGCGGUAAGACGAACCGUGCGAACGUUGUUCGGAAUCACUGGGCUUAAAGGGCGCGUAGGCGGGCUGCAAAGUCCGGGGUGAAAUCCUCCCGCUCAACGGGAGAACGGCCUCGGAUACUUGCGGUCUCGAGGGAGGUAGGGGCGUGCGGAACUAUGGGUGGAGCGGUGAAAUGCGUUGAUAUCCAUAGGAACUCCGGUGGCGAAGGCGGCACGCUGGACCUUUUCUGACGCUGAGGCGCGAAAGCCAGGGGAGCAAACG
RNAcentral lists this ribosomal RNA (409 nucleotides) under uncultured Gemmata sp. RNAcentral describes it as "bacterial SSU rRNA". It matches the Rfam family "Bacterial small subunit ribosomal RNA", at positions 355 to 774 of the family's 1533-position model. The record is from RNAcentral. Lineage: Bacteria; Pseudomonadati; Planctomycetota; Planctomycetia; Gemmatales; Gemmataceae. RNAcentral also lists the same sequence under 1 other name.